AGAGUUUGAUCCUGGCUCAGGAUGAACGCUAGCGACAGGCCUAACACAUGCAAGUCGAGGGGCAGCAUGAAAUUAGCUUGCUAAUUUUGAUGGCGACCGGCGCACGGGUGAGUAACACGUAUGCAACCUGCCUGUAAGCGGGGGAUAACCCGGAGAAAUUCGGACUAAUACCGCAUAAUAUCAUUAGAUCGCAUGUUUUAAUGAUUAAAAAUUUAUUGCUUACAGAUGGGCAUGCGUAUGAUUAGCUAGUUGGCGGGGUAACGGCCCACCAAGGCGACGAUCAUUAGGGGUUCUGAGAGGAAGGUCCCCCACAUUGGAACUGAGACACGGUCCAAACUCCUACGGGAGGCAGCAGUGAGGAAUAUUGGUCAAUGGACGCAAGUCUGAACCAGCCAUGUCGCGUGAAGGAUGACUGUCCUAUGGAUUGUAAACUUCUUUUAUAUGGGGAUAAAGUGUGAGACUUGUCUCAUUUUGCAUGUACCAUAUGAAUAAGCAUCGGCUAACUCCGUGCCAGCAGCCGCGGU
RNAcentral lists this ribosomal RNA (524 nucleotides) under uncultured bacterium. RNAcentral describes it as "bacterial SSU rRNA". It matches the Rfam family "Bacterial small subunit ribosomal RNA", at positions 8 to 521 of the family's 1533-position model. The record is from RNAcentral.